RNAcentral lists this ribosomal RNA (466 nucleotides) under uncultured bacterium. RNAcentral's name for it is "bacterial SSU rRNA". It matches the Rfam family "Bacterial small subunit ribosomal RNA", at positions 30 to 486 of the family's 1533-position model. The record is from RNAcentral.
AUUGAACGCUGGCGGCAGGCUUAACACAUGCAAGUCGAGCGGAAACGAUGAUAGCUUGCUAUCAGGCGUCGAGCGGCGGACGGGUGAGUAACGCGUAGGAACCUACCUAGUAGUUUGGGAUAGCCCAGAGAAAUUUGGAUUAAUACCGGAUACGCCCUAUGGGGGAAAGCAGGGGAUCUUCGGACCUUGCGCUAUUAGAUGGGCCUGCGUGAGAUUAGCUAGUUGGUGAGGUAAAGGCUCACCAAGGCGACGAUCUCUAGCUGGUCUGAGAGGAUGAUCAGCCACACUGGGACUGAGACACGGCCCAGACUCCUACGGGAGGCAGCAGUGGGGAAUAUUGCACAAUGGGCGCAAGCCUGAUGCAGCCAUGCCGCGUGUGUGAAGAAGGCUCUAGGGUUGUAAAGCACUUUCAGUUGGGAGGAAAGCUUGAUGAUUAAUACUCAUCAAGUGUGACGUUACCACAGAA